This is a long non-coding RNA of Alexandromys fortis (reed vole), 1937 nucleotides long. RefSeq lists it as uncharacterized. The transcript has 3 exons. Lineage: Eukaryota; Metazoa; Chordata; Mammalia; Rodentia; Cricetidae. The record is from RefSeq and is a predicted model, not a curated record.
GGUACAUUGAAGAAGACUCUCAUUGCUGCCUGAACUCUCUAAAACUCAACACAAGAUGAGGAAGCUCUAAAGAAGAGUUGGAAGCUGAAGUGCAGUAAUGGGACCUAACUUCACUGAAUAAGUCACCAGAAUGAAGAGGUCUCAUCCUUGAUACACACACCAAUGUAGCUGAUGAGAACUGGAGCCUGCCAAUCAUGACUGAUAGAUGAUGCUCAGAUUACUGCCAGGCCUGCCACAGUGUGCCCGAAGAUGUGAAUCUUCUAAACGGUGAUGAAGUCCUUCCUCCACUGCACAAGUCUUUCAGACAGAGAAUUCCUGUCUUACAUGAAGAGGAAUUUGUGGAUGGACCUAUACCAGAUAAAGAAACUGAGUCACAGACUUCUGUCGUGCAGCCUUUUAGAAGACUUCUAACACUGCUGACAUGCCUGACAUGGACAUUCAGAAAAUGUGUAUUCCAGAUUGUGAUUUCAAGUUUGGUGCCAAUGAAGAAGUGAGUGUCUGGGACUUUCUAUAAUUCUCAGGGUAUCAUUCAAGUUUCAGCUUCUGCCCAAUAAGUACACAGACAUAUGACCAAGGGAGGCUGAGAUUAUUCCACCUAAUCCUAGGGAGCUCCUGACUCCUCCUUCUAGGUUAGAGGAUUUUAGAUCUUUCACCUGCUCCCAAAGUGGUAGCAAGAAUUCUUCUUCUGCCCACAUAGGCUUUCUCUGCCUACCUAAGUUCUGCCAUGCUAUAGGUCCCAAGCAGUAUCUUAUUUAUUAAUGGUGAUCACAGCACACAGAGGGGACUCCCUCAUCAUGGAUAUGCUCCACCUACCCAGAGAAGUCUGAGAGUAUCCUCUCUUUCUUACUGAAGUGGCUUUUAGACUAUGCCCUCUCCCAAGUAUACCCCCAAGUUUUGUCUUCUGACCAAAGGGUUUCAGACCUGCCUGCUCUACUAGAGAGGUACAUACAAGGGUUCUCAGAUCUUCUGAACAUGACCCUGUGGGAGUACAAUUACUAGGACCAUAUAAUUGGGCCACAUACCAUUCUGAUGUGACCAAAGGAGUUUCAGUUUACUGCCUAUGAUUUACCAGACAGCCUCAGAUCUACUCAUUCUGCAAGUUGUCUUCAAAUAGGCCCUUUGGUUCAAGGAGAGCCUCACACUCUUCUCCUCUGAUUCAGUGGCCUCAGACAUUCCCCCACCCAAACCUGAGACCAUAGAAUACUUUUCUUCACACAAGGACUUCUCCAGACAUCCCAGGCUUAAAGACUCCAAGUCCAUGUGUAGGAAGUAGAGUCUAGAAUUGAAGCCCACAGCCUCAAAGCCAAAAUCAAUAUAAUGUGGUCUCCAUCAUUCAAACUUAGAUCUGAGCAGCUGAACAUAUGCUUGAGAAGGAGAACAAGAUUGGGACUCUCAUGCAGACUUUUGGAAAAUACUCAGACUGCUGCCUCACCUACCACUCAUUCUCUACAGUGGACAGAUAUCCAAGUAUCUGAUGAAGAGCUGGAAGCUGAUAAGGCAGUUCCUGUAAUGUGUUCCAUUGUAUGAGGUGGGCCGGGACUUUGAUCUCAUGUCAAGCAGUGGGUAUGCUGAUUUCCAACUUUACCCAACCCAACAUGCUAUUCAAUAUUUAUAAUAACCCCCAGAUUUCCACACUCCUCACAAGACACCAUCAAACAUUUCCCCUCUGACCCUGGGGUCCUUGUAUUUUCUCCAAAGCUCUUGUUUCCUCCCUUCUUCCCCAUACACCUUGGCAAGCCUCUGACCUAACAUUGCUGAUCCUUUGAUCCCUAUUUGUAAAUUUCUGACUUAUGUGUGGGGCAUUCAAGGUCUGAAUAUGAGGCCUUCAAUAGUGUUCCCAUUGACCAAGGGUGUCUCACACAUACUCUUUUCCUUUAAUGGAGUAUUCAAACUCCACAUCUGGCCAACAGAAUUUCAGAUCUUCCUUUUCUGUAAUG